CAGGUGUUAGUUUAUAAAAAUAUUGGUUUUGGGGACCAAAGAUAAAAGUUUUUUUACUCCUGA
RNAcentral lists this transfer RNA (63 nucleotides) under Ceracris nigricornis nigricornis. RNAcentral's name for it is "tRNA-Pro". Lineage: Eukaryota; Metazoa; Arthropoda; Insecta; Orthoptera; Acrididae. The record is from RNAcentral. RNAcentral also lists the same sequence under 1 other name.